Molecule: ribosomal RNA, 203 nt
Filed under: uncultured bacterium
Lineage: Bacteria
Description: partial 16S ribosomal RNA
Rfam family: Bacterial small subunit ribosomal RNA
Source: RNAcentral
AGUUCGGAUCGGAGCCUGCAACCCGGCUCCGUGAAGCUGGAUUCGCUAGUAAUCGCGCAUCAGCCAUGGCGCGGUGAAUACGUUCCCGGGCCUUGUACACACCGCCCGUCAAGCCAUGGGAGCCGGGGGCGCCUGAAGUGCGGUACCGCGAGGGCCGCCCAAGGGCGAGACCGGUGACUGGGGCUAAGUCGUAACAAGGUAAC